GGAGAUGUAGCUCAGUGGCAGAGCACUUGCUUGGCAUGCCUGAGGCCCUGGAUUCAAUCUGCAGUACCCCCA
This 72-nucleotide transfer RNA is filed under the name Cavia porcellus (domestic guinea pig). It matches the Rfam family "tRNA". Rfam says of the family: Transfer RNA (tRNA) molecules are approximately 80 nucleotides in length. Their secondary structure includes four short double-helical elements and three loops (D, anti-codon, and T loops). Further hydrogen bonds mediate the characteristic L-shaped molecular structure. tRNAs have two regions of fundamental functional importance: the anti-codon, which is responsible for specific mRNA codon recognition, and the 3' end, to which the tRNAs corresponding amino acid is attached (by aminoacyl-tRNA synthetases). tRNAs cope with the degeneracy of the genetic code in two manners: having more than one tRNA (with a specific anti-codon) for a particular amino acid; and 'wobble' base-pairing, i.e. permitting non-standard base-pairing at the 3rd anti-codon position. The record is from Rfam by way of RNAcentral. Lineage: Eukaryota; Metazoa; Chordata; Mammalia; Rodentia; Caviidae.